GACGAACGCUGGCGGCGUGCUUAACACAUGCAAGUCGAACGAUGAAGCCGGAGCUUGCUCUGGUGAAUUAGUGGCGAACGGGUGAGUAACACGUGAGUAACCUGCCCUUGACUCUGGGAUAACUGCGGGAAACUGUAGCUAAUACCGGAUACGACCCUCGGAGGCGUCUCCUGGGGGUGGAAAGAAUUUCGGUCAAGGAUGGACUCGCGGCCUAUCAGCUAGUUGGUGAGGUAAAGGCUGACCAAGGCGACGACGGGUAGCCGGCCUGAGAGGGUGACCGGCCACACUGGGACUGGGACACGGCCCAGACUCCUACGGGAGGCAGCAGUGGGGAAUAUAGCGCAAUGGGCGCAGGCCUGAUGAAGCAACGCCGCGUGAGGGAGGACGGCCUUCGGGUUGUAAACCUCUUUUAGCAGGGAAGAAGCGAAAGUGACGGUACCUGCAGAAAAAGCACCGGCUAACUACGUGCCAGCAGCCGCCGUAA
Molecule: ribosomal RNA, 484 nt
Filed under: uncultured bacterium
Lineage: Bacteria
Description: partial 16S ribosomal RNA
Rfam family: Bacterial small subunit ribosomal RNA
Source: RNAcentral